AGUUAACGGCGUAGGGUACAGAGGUAAGAUGUUCUAUCUUUCAGACCUUUUGUUUCACGUUAUUGGAUUUGGCUGAUUCAGCCGCCCUGGUCAUUUGACCGGGGCGUUUUUUA
Photobacterium jeanii is the source of this 113-nucleotide small RNA. Lineage: Bacteria; Pseudomonadati; Pseudomonadota; Gammaproteobacteria; Vibrionales; Vibrionaceae. The record is from Rfam.